RNAcentral lists this long non-coding RNA (775 nucleotides) under Homo sapiens (human). Its description in RNAcentral is "HSALNT0173493". Lineage: Eukaryota; Metazoa; Chordata; Mammalia; Primates; Hominidae. The record is from RNAcentral.
CAGCAAGAAGACUAGUGUGAUAGGGUGGCUCUUAUAUAGCCCUCAGUGACCCCACCUGUUGUUACUCAGGACCUAGUGUCAUGCUUUCCCCUAGAGUAACUAUCUUGUAACCAAUAAAAUACAGCAACAUUGAGAGGAUGUCCCUUUUCUACUUAAGUCACAAAAGAUGCUGACUUUGUCUUGCUUGUGGAUUCUCUCUCUCUCCCUUGUCUCAUUAGCCUUGAUGAAACAAGGGGCGUGUUGGAGAGGCCUAUGUGGCAAGAAACUGAGGGUAGCUUCUUGCCAACAGCCAGCAAGGAAUGGAAGCUCUCAGUGCAACAGCGCUUAUGAAACUGAAUCCUCUUAACGACCACGUCGGUGAGCUCGGAAGUGGAUUUUUCUCCAUCUGAGUCUUCAGAUUACAUCAGAAAAAUCCCAACUGGAGGCCAUUCUAUAAAAUGCAUGAGCUGCCUUAAUGUCAAGGUCAUCAAAAAAAAGCCAGAAAGACUUCUAUCAAAAUGCUAAAUAGAAGCCAUGACCACAGAUGUCCUGUCAAAUUGUUUAUCUUUGGACAAGAGUUUGUCAUAUUUCACUACUAAAUAUUAUAAUUGCUCUAAACUUUAAAUUAAUUUUCACUGGUUAACAAAUUUUCAUUUUAUUUCCAGUUUGCUAAAAAAUUUUAGUAUGAAUGACUGUUGAAUUUUUAUCAAUUUCUUUUUGUAUCAAUCAACAUGAACGUAUGAUUCAUCUUGUAUAUUCUACUAAUGUGGUGACUUACAAUGAUAUAUUUCCAAAU